CUUAGGCCAGCAGUUCCUCUUCACUCUAAAUUUAUGGUAAGCAUUACCAGCCUUCAAAAGGGGCUUCUCAGUCCUACCUCCACCUGCAACCUGUCCAACCAUGGCACGGCACCCACUUGGAACUAUUUUCUUUGAACCGGAUGGAAGCUUGAUCCUGGAAGUGUCAUUAUCGGGAUUGUGACUAAUAACAAUGGCAUAGUCACCCGAGCACCUGGCAAAAACACCGCGGUCACCAACAUGAUGUUCGACGUUGCAGACGACAGCACCUUCAGGAAUCGAUCUUAUGGGCAAGACAUUUCCAACCACGAGAUUUGCUUUCUUCCCACAGUAAACAAAUUGGCCAGUGUACAUACCCUCGGCCGCAACGAACAGCUCAUUCUGUUUCUUGUACCUGAAAGGGUGGCGGAAUGAAACUCGAGCAAGUGGCGCUCCACGGCCAGGGUCGUGAAUAAUCUCAGUGACGACUCCUUUCAGAUAACCAUUUCGUUCACCGAAAUCGAGACUUCUGAACCUGGCCGGGCCCUUCCGAUGAUGGGUAUGGGACUUGAAGACGGAUCCCGCUCCCUUGCGCUGAGCACGAAUGACUCUUCCCAUGGCGGCUCCGCGAGAUCGGAGAUUUUCAGUUCGCU
RNAcentral lists this unclassified non-coding RNA (629 nucleotides) under Hevea brasiliensis (rubber tree). Lineage: Eukaryota; Viridiplantae; Streptophyta; Magnoliopsida; Malpighiales; Euphorbiaceae. The record is from RNAcentral.